Molecule: ribosomal RNA, 423 nt
Filed under: uncultured bacterium
Lineage: Bacteria
Description: bacterial SSU rRNA
Rfam family: Bacterial small subunit ribosomal RNA
Source: RNAcentral
AAGACCUUGCACUUUUGGAGCGGCCGAUGUCUGAUUAGCUAGUUGGUGGGGUAAUGGCCUACCAAAGCUUCGAUCAGUAGCUGGUCUGAGAGGACGGCCAGCCACACUGGGACUGAGACACGGCCCAGACUCCUACGGGAGGCAGCAGUGGGGAAUUUUGGACAAUGGGCGCAAGCCUGAUCCAGCCAUGCCGCGUGAGUGAAGAAGGCCUUCGGGUUGUAAAGCUCUUUCAGCCGGGAAGAAAAGGUUGCGACUAAUAAUCGCAAUUCAUGACGGUACCGAAAGAAGAAGCACCGGCUAACUACGUGCCAGCAGCCGCGGUAAUACGUAGGGUGCGAGCGUUAAUCGGAAUUACUGGGCGUAAAGGGUGCGCAGGCGGUUUUAUAAGUCAGAUGUGAAAUCCCCGGGCUUAACCUGGGAACU